This 440-nucleotide ribosomal RNA is filed under the name uncultured bacterium. RNAcentral's name for it is "partial 16S ribosomal RNA". It matches the Rfam family "Bacterial small subunit ribosomal RNA", at positions 338 to 795 of the family's 1533-position model. The record is from RNAcentral.
CCUACGGGUGGCAGCAGUGGGGGAUAUUGCACAAUGGGGGAAACCCUGAUGCAGUGACGCCGCGUGAGUGAAGAAGUAUUUCGGUAUGUAAAGCUCUAUCAGCAGGGAAGAAAAUGACAGUACCUGACCACGAAGCCCCGGCUAACUACGUGCCAGCUGCCGCGGUAAUACGUAGGGGGCAAGCGUUAUCCGGAUUUACUGGGUGUAAAGGGUGCGUAGACGGUUAUGUGAGUCUGGAGUGAAAGCCCGGGGCCCAACCCCGGGACCGAUUAGGAAACUGUAUAUCUGGAGUACGGGAGGGGCAAGCGGAAUUCCUGGUGUAGCGGUGAAAUGCGUAGAUAUAAGGAGGAACACCGGCGGCGAAGGCGGCCUGCUGGGCUGAAACUGACGUUGAGGCUCGAAAGCGUGGGGAGCAAACAGGAUUAGAUACCCGUGUAGUC